Non-coding RNA from Rattus norvegicus (Norway rat), 1996 nucleotides. Lineage: Eukaryota; Metazoa; Chordata; Mammalia; Rodentia; Muridae. The record is from RefSeq and is a predicted model, not a curated record.
ACUCCAAAAUAGCUUUGUCUAAUUUGAAGGGAAACCAUGCAGCUUCCUCCGUCUCUCUGAAGGCUGGGUAGGUUGGGGCCUGGUGGAAGAGGCUCCUCUCUCUUGGGGUGCCUGAGGCUAGGAGACAGGACCAGGUGUUAACCAGAUGUCAGCAGCAGCUUUAGCCCACACCUCAUGUUUUCAUCAUUAUCAACUGCCCUAGGGUCUGUUAUACAGGCUAUGGAUAAAACUCAGAAUGAGUGUGAGGUCAGUGGAUACUAGGGAGAAUUGAAAACUUUCUGGGGUUUGAAUACAGACUGACUCUUGCAGCCUUACGUGUUUGAAUAUGUGGUCCUCAAUUGGUUGAGGUUGUAGAACCUUUAGGAAGUAGGCAUUUCCUGAAGAAAGUGGGUCAUGGGGGAAGGGGUGAGCCCAGAUGUCUAUAGUCUAGUCUUGCUCCGAUUCAGUCUUUACUUCAAGUCCCACUGGUGAUGUGAGCGAGCAGUUGUCCCCUGCUCCUGCCACCGCAGAGGCACCGAGAGACAGGAAGUCCUGUGAGAAUGGGACCAAGGCCUCACGUAGGUGGAAACUGGCAAAGCCUUCCUCUUCUCCAUGCAUGGAUAUUGACAAGGUGUACAGAAAGCAUUGAGGGCGGCUUCCUCCUGGAUGAUCACAGCCUGAGACUGCUUCCCUACAGAGACGGUUCACUGAGACUACCUACUCCCUCCUCCCGUACUGUGCGUAGUAAGAGGGAUGAGAUUCCGGGUUGUUGUAUAGUUGGUGUUGCUCCAUCAGAGCAAGCCCAGCCCUCCAUACCCCAGCUUUUCAGUAUGCGAGUCUGCAUCUGAACUUUCUUCAUUCCUUUGUUCCCCUGUCAAGUUUCCUGUGCCAAGCCACGCUGGAUGUGGAACAGAGCUACCUGUCACCGUCUCGUUCCUCCCAUGUUAGACUGGAUCCUUUUAAUCCAUGAGCCCAUAUAAACCCUUCCUCCCUGAAGUUGACUCUUGUCGCGUAUUUGGUCAAAGAUGCGAAGAGUAACUAACACAGAGAACGGGUACCGAGGGCUGGGGCUGUCGCUGUGAUAAACCGGAAGUAGCACAGACUAGGUUCCGAGCGCUGGGGUUGUUACUAUGAUAAACCGGAAGUAACUAACGCAGAGAACAGGUACGGAACACUGAAGCUGUUGCUGUGAUAAACAGGAAAUAGUUAACACAGAGAACGGGUACUGAGCGCUGAGCUGUUGCUGUGAUAAACCGGAAGUAACACAGACUAGGUACAGAGUUCUGGGGUUGUUACUAUGAUAAACCGGAAGUAACUAACGCAGAGAACAGAUACGGAGCUCUGAGGCUGUUGCUGUGAUAAACAGGAGCAUGUGCGGCUUGGGCCAUGGGUGAACUUUGGGUUACAGUCAUUGUAGGGUGCUGUAAACUGGCCCAUUCAUCUUAUAUUCUGGAAGAGAGUCUACUACCUUCUGCCAGUGCUCUGAGAAGUUGCAUGUGGCUUUUAAAAUUGCUACCAAAUAGCCAGCUGACCCCUGAAGGUUGAUGAAGCUAACACAGAGAAAACAGAUGCACAGCAUGGAGGCGUCUCUGUCACGAUGCUAUCCUUCCAGCCUGGAUGGGGAGCUCCAUGUAGCCAGAGACCUGGUUUGUCUGUGUUCCUGGUGACAAGAGUCCUGUACUUGGAAGAAAGAUACGUUGGGAUAAAAAGCAUCCUUCACUCCACAAGAUAGAAAGAAGACGGAGACUGGGGAUCUACACAGGGAGCCACGGCUAGGGCCCUGCAAGGAGGACUGUGACAGGGAUUCGUAGCUCAAGUGGGCACGGCAUCUGCAACAACAGAACAGCGCAGAACUGGCCAUCCCUGAGAAUCUCAGUUUGCAUCGUUUUGCUCAGUCGGGGGAGGAGCAUCAGAUUGAAUACACAGCAAAUGUGGAUCAAGAAGGCCUCCAUGGGGUCUAGUGUGGAACACUAAGAAAUGAAAGAAAAUAAAUAAAUAAAUAAAUAAAUAAAUAAAU